RNAcentral lists this long non-coding RNA (401 nucleotides) under Vitis vinifera (wine grape). RNAcentral's name for it is "long non-coding RNA (VVIN_LNC004655)". Lineage: Eukaryota; Viridiplantae; Streptophyta; Magnoliopsida; Vitales; Vitaceae. The record is from RNAcentral.
CUGAGGAAAAUAUUUAUUUAAAUUCAAAAUAUCAAAAAGUAAUUUAAUUUUGCAAAGUGCUCUCAAGUGUACAGAAGUAAGCCUAAACAGAACAUGCUGAAAGAGAUUAUCGUAAUUUUGACUUCAAGAAAAUCUUUUUUACUCGAAUAAUAUUCCAAAAUCAAGUUCAAGAAGUAAUGAAUAUCAUAAAUUUUUUGGAAAUUUUUUGAAAAGUACUCUAAAUUAUCAAAACGAAUUUUAAAUCCAAAUGGUUAGUAGGUGAGUGGAAACCAACAACAAGGAUGAGUUAUGAAAAAUUCUUUCAUAUAAGGAUUCCAUCAAACCAAUAUGCUUUCAAAAAUAAAAAUCAAGACUUUUAAUAGCAUGAAAUAAAACCAAAAGAUCUAGCACCUUAAAAAUAC